Regulatory RNA element from Lactonifactor longoviformis DSM 17459, 86 nucleotides. It matches the Rfam family "c-di-GMP-I riboswitch aptamer". Rfam says of the family: GEMM was predicted in a large-scale screen for bacterial structured RNA regulatory elements. The record is from Rfam. Lineage: Bacteria; Bacillati; Bacillota; Clostridia; Eubacteriales; Clostridiaceae.
AUACAGCUCCGGCAAAACCAGCGAAAGCUGGUGGCGCAAAGCUAGAGGGCCUAAGCUUACAAAGAGUAUGGCAGCCAGUUGCACAA